GGAUAAAGGCAAACUGCCAAUCACGCGUAUCCUUGACGACCUUCUAACCCCCCUUCUAGACGUAACGGAUCAGAGCGCGUUACUUUAUGUCCCGGUGCUACAGAACGCGGACUUCCAGGGACUUUUAUAACACCGGUUGGGGUUACGCGCUACCGAUCCAGGGUCAGUGUUUACUUCCUGUGUGGGCAGAUCCAGGGUCAGUGUUUACUUCCUGUGUGGGCAGAUCCAGGGUCAGUAUGGAGGAGGAAGAGCUGCUGAAGGAGAGACUCCAGGCCAUCACGGAGAAGAGAAGGGUGCAGGAGGACAUUGCUCUGAAGAAGCAGGAAAUAGACAAGGACAAGCUGAAGCUGCAGCACCUGAAGAAGCGGUUCCUCAGGGACCAGUGGCUGAUGGAGGGCUCCUCAGCGCUCAGCUCCCAGCAGAAACAGAGCCUGAGAGACGACCAGACACACACCAGGCUGCUGCAGGGCAGCAUACACAGGAUGGAGAAGGAGGUCGAGGAGCUGGAGAGGGAGGAGUCUAUGAUCUCCACCAAUGAGAGCUUCAUCCUGAAGAGACUGAAAGCUGUAGAGAAAACUUCAGAGGAUAUCAUCAAGGAAGCAAAAAAGAACUUCAAAGAAGCAGAGCUCCUCCAGUUCCCCCCAGAGGCGCCGCUGUCCUACAGACCCCUGAACUACAGACUCUCUGACACACACACAGACCGCGACCAGCCCAAGCAGACUCUCUUCGCCAUGGAAAUCAAUGUCCAGAAAGACCGACGCACGGGAGAGAGCAGGGUCAUCUCCACGGCAACCGUCACCCCCCAGGAGCUGCAGCAGCGCGGGGUCAAAGUUUACGACGAUGGCAGGAAGUGCGUGUACGCCAUGCGCUGUGACGGGCCGGGGGCGGGGCCGGGGGCGGGGCCGGGGGCGGGGCCAGGGUCACAUGGUGUGGACGAGCUGAGCUCCAGCGAGGUGGAGCAGCUCCUGAGAGACGCUACUGAGAGGAAACACCAGAGGGCGCCACAGCGCAGCGACACCAGCUGCAGCCACCAGGGGGAGCUCUCCACCAGCAGCAGAGCACUGUCUCUCCCUGCAGUACCUCCCACCAACCACAGGGGCAGCAGAGGGCAGAGCCUUAGCCAAUCCAACCGCAGAGUAAAUGGACACCAGCUGUCACAUGACCACAACCAGGAAGUGUUCUCCGGAACAGAGAGCUGCUACCUUGAGGCCAAUCACAUUCCAGCCCGGUCUUACCUCAGCAGCGAGGACAAGUACUACCAGCCAGUCGACAGCUACCGUCAACAGCAAGGCCACACCCCUUCCUACUCAGACCUGUACCGCCUCCCAGCUGACAGCCAACCGUCUGCCAUCUUCUAUAACUCCGCCUACCCGGACCGGUGCCCCUCCCCUCUCUACGAGGACGACGCCCCCUUCCGCAUACUCAACGCCCUGCCGGUCAAUCCGGACGUGUCAGAGCCGGUCACCGCCAUCUUCAUGGGCUUCCAGACGGCCGAGGACGACAGUGGGCGGGGCCUGGGCUACGAGGGUUCCAUUAAGGCGGAACUUGUCGUCAUCGGCGACGAUGAUGACGACGGCGGCGAGUCUCACGUUGGGCGCCCGGCCGAGGGUUACCGUAACUACGGUUACCAGCAAGGCCAGCGAGGGGUGGAGCCUAAGGCCGCUAACUGCAAUGGCGGCGGUGUGCGAGGGCGGAGGCCGUGGAAGGGGGUCUGCAAGCAGGAGGGCCGAUCAGAGCGACGCCUCAGAGAGGGGAAGACGAACGCAGGUAACAGGAAGAUCAGCAACACCCAGAAACACUGCUGCUCCGUCAUGUGAACAACUAACUAGACACACACUAACCUAACUAACCACGCUGCUAACAGUUUACUGGGCUAACUAACCACCUGCUGGUUAACUGGACUAUCUAACCACCCUGCUGGUUAACUGGACUAACUAACCUACAGCUGGUUAACUGGACUAAUAUUGCUGUCAUUGUCCUUUCCUUCGAACCCCAUGACUACCAGCGCAUCAUCUGCUAAUGGAAAUCUCUGUUUGACAGUAUUUUACACCUUUGUCUUAACUGUAGCGCAGCAUAGCUUAGCUUCCUCCUGUGUGACGUCAUCAUAGAGCUAAGAUUAGGUAUAGUGUGCUCCUGGAGAGAUACCCUCCUGUAGGGUUACACUCAAACUCUGCUCCUGGAGAAGUGGUCUCUCACCAGUAAUACAGAGACUGGAGACCAUGCUCUAGCUCCCUCUAGUGGCUGAACUAUGUCAUUACAUUUAGGCCAUUGACGUCUGAUAACUGGUAUAUAGCUUUUAGAAUGAUUAUUUAAAAUUACGCUUUCAUAAAUGUUGUAGUUUUUUUACUUUUGGAUUAAAGAACAAAGAUUG
This is an RNA transcript of Osmerus eperlanus (European smelt), 2371 nucleotides long. It is a transcript of the gene named palmdelphin a, with no coding region annotated. The record is from RefSeq and is a predicted model, not a curated record. NCBI's taxonomy places the organism in Eukaryota, Metazoa, Chordata, Actinopteri, Osmeriformes, Osmeridae. The transcript is spliced from 9 exons.